GACGAACGCUGGCGGCGUGCCUAAUACAUGCAAGUCGAACGCAUUUUCUUUCACCGUAGCUUGCUACACCGAAAGAAAAUGAGUGGCGAACGGGUGAGUAACACGUGGGUAACCUGCCCAUCAGCGGGGGAUAACACUUGGAAACAGGUGCUAAUACCGCAUAAUUCCAUUUACCGCAUGGUAAAUGGAUGAAAGGCGCUUUUGCGUCACUGAUGGAUGGACCCGCGGUGCAUUAGCUAGUUGGUGGGGUAACGGCCUACCAAGGCUGCGAUGCAUAGCCGACCUGAGAGGGUGAUCGGCCACACUGGGACGGAGACACGGCCCAGACUCCUACGGGAGGCAGCAGUAGGGAAUCUUCGGCAAUGGACGCAAGUCUGACCGAGCAACGCCGCGUGAUUGAAGAAGGUUUUCGGAUCGUAAAACUCUGUUGUUAGAGAAGAACAAGGAUGAGAGUGGAAAGUUCAUCCCUUGACGGUAUCUAACCAGAAAGCCACGGCUAACUACGUG
RNAcentral lists this ribosomal RNA (507 nucleotides) under uncultured bacterium. RNAcentral's name for it is "partial 16S ribosomal RNA". It matches the Rfam family "Bacterial small subunit ribosomal RNA", at positions 28 to 507 of the family's 1533-position model. The record is from RNAcentral.